UACGGAGGAUCCAAGCGUUAUCCGGAAUCAUUGGGUUUAAAGGGUCCGUAGGCGGUUUUAUAAGUCAGUGGUGAGAUCUGGUCGCUCAACGAUCAAACGGCCAUUGAUACUGUAGAACUUGAAUUAUUGGGAAGUAACUAGAAUAUGUAGUGUAGCGGUGAAAUGCUUAGAGAUUACAUGGAAUACCAAUUGCGAAGGCAGGUUACUAUCAAUAUAUUGACGCUGAUGGACGAAAGCGUGGGGAGCGAACAGG
Molecule: ribosomal RNA, 253 nt
Filed under: uncultured bacterium
Lineage: Bacteria
Description: partial 16S ribosomal RNA
Rfam family: Bacterial small subunit ribosomal RNA
Source: RNAcentral